This is a non-coding RNA of Punica granatum (pomegranate), 1293 nucleotides long. NCBI's taxonomy places the organism in Eukaryota, Viridiplantae, Streptophyta, Magnoliopsida, Myrtales, Lythraceae. The record is from RefSeq and is a predicted model, not a curated record.
UAAAUUUCAAAAGGAUAGAAUUUUUCAGUUUUAUCUCCCCUUCUCUCUCUUCUAUGUUUACUAUUCAGCAUCUUCAUCUUCCCCUCACUGUUCAUCGUCCCCAGACCCGCCCUCUCCUUCAACCCGGCGAGAUCUGUCCUGAUCUCGCCCUCUCCUUCAACCACCCUUACCCUCCACCAAGGCCGCCCUCGUCCCCGACAAGGACUCCUUUCGCCUCGACUUCCUCGCCACCUCCCGACUGGAGCUCCGUAGCCUCCUCAAUGACAACAAGAACUUCGAGAUCUGCGGGUCCCUCACCUCUUUCGACUGGAAUGAGCCUCUUCUCCUCCGCGCAUUAGGACCUCCAGCAUCGACACCGCCUUUGUCAACCGCUUCCUCGCCUUCCCACUACUGAUUCAGCCUUCGAAGGUUCUUGCCCAUUAAAUCCCGGAGCUUGGAAAGGUUUUGCACCGAUUUCCAAUAUAUGCUCAAACGAGAUGUCUAUUUUGUAGUUCACGUGAGUCCGAGUGUCCGGUUCUUAGGAUUUAUGACCCUCUUCAAGAAGAUCCUUUCAAAUCCAAUUCUAAAGAAGAUUUCAAUAGAAAAAUGCGAUAACUUGGUGGAUAUUAAAAUUGAUCAUCCAAAGUUGUCGUCUUUCUACUAUAAGAUCUCAACUGGGGAAUGUUGGUAGCGAUCUCGAUGGGGGGCUAAUCACCAGCAUCAAGCCCUCACAAUUGGGAAUCUCUCGGCUCUAGAGAGAAUCCGAUAAUUCUUGCCUUUGUGGGCUAGAAUCGAAUCAUGAGCCGAAGUCGACUGAGUUGGAGAGGUGAGGGGCGACCGCCGUUGCCCGGAAGGCGAGGGGAGGACAGGCGGUGGCGGCGGCAGCGGCUGAUAUGGAUGACGAUGACAAGAUCUCGCUUCUGCCCGAGCAUGUAAAGCAUCGCAUUCUCUCCUUCAUACCGAGCAUCAAGGAGGUGGUGAGGACGAGUUCGCUGUCGAAAUCGUGGCUACGGACGUGGAGAUCGUUCCAGAUCACAGACUUCGAUCAAUCGCUUAUCCUACCGAACUCGGCUAUUCACCAAUUCGUGGGAGCCAGACGGUGGAAAGAGUAGAGCGAGAGCUUCGUGAGGUUCGUGGACGAUAGUUCUAGAUUAGGUUGAAGAGCUAUUCAAAUUCAUAUGCAUUUCAACUAAUUGAAUGCAUGAUCUAGUUUAAAUGAAAUAUCCUAACCAGCUAAAGAUUGUAAAUUAAGAUGGCGAUUAUAUAUACAAGUUUUAAUAAAGAAAUGAAAAGAAUAUUCCAUUUCGUUAAAUA